AUUGAACGCUGGCGGCAUGCCUUACACAUGCAAGUCGAACGGCAGCACGGGUGCUUGCACCUGGUGGCGAGUGGCGAACGGGUGAGUAAUACAUCGGAACGUACCUUAUCGUGGGGGAUAACGCAGCGAAAGCUGUGCUAAUACCGCAUACGCCCUGAGGGGGAAAGCGGGGGAUCGCAAGACCUAGCGCGAUUAGAGCGGCCGAUGCCUGAUUAGCUUGUUGGUGGGGUAAAAGCCCACCAAGGCGACGAUCAGUAGCUGGUCUGAGAGGACGAUCAGCCACUCUGGGACUGAGACGGCCCAGACUCCUACGGGAGGCAGCAGUGGGGAAUUUUGGACAAUGGGGCAACCCUGAUCCAGCAAUGCCGCGUGAGUGAAGAAGGCCUUCGGGUUGUAAAGCUCUUUUGUCAGGGAAGAAACACCGGCUCUAACACAGUCCGGGAAUGACGGUACCUGAAGAAUAAGCACCGGCUAACUACGUGCCAGCAGCCGCGGUAA
RNAcentral lists this ribosomal RNA (498 nucleotides) under uncultured bacterium. RNAcentral describes it as "partial 16S ribosomal RNA". It matches the Rfam family "Bacterial small subunit ribosomal RNA", at positions 30 to 523 of the family's 1533-position model. The record is from RNAcentral.